This 275-nucleotide ribosomal RNA is filed under the name uncultured bacterium. RNAcentral describes it as "partial 16S ribosomal RNA". It matches the Rfam family "Bacterial small subunit ribosomal RNA", at positions 338 to 630 of the family's 1533-position model. The record is from RNAcentral.
CCUACGGGUGGCUGCAGUGGGGAAUAUUGGACAAUGGGCGAAAGCCUGAUCCAGCAAUGCCGCGUGAGUGAUGAAGGCCUUAGGGUUGUAAAGCUCUUUCAGCAGGGAAGAUAAUGACGGUACCUGCAGAAGAAGCCCCGGCUAACUCCGUGCCAGCAGCCGCGGUAAUACGGAGGGGGCUAGCGUUGUUCGGAAUUACUGGGCGUAAAGAGCGCGUAGGCGGUUUGACAAGUUGGAAGUGAAAGCCCAGGGCUUAACCCUGGAAUUGCUUUCAA